CGUUCACUGUGUUUCUCAUCUAAAUUAUAUGCAUGAUAUACCUCUAGUCAGAAGCCGUCAGCUGUUGUGUCAAGUGAACGUUCUUAACCAACAAAAUAAGUAAAACUUAUCAAUACUGUGUGACCGUAAUAGUGAAUCUAUUAUUAGUUACUGAAGAUGUUGUAAGUUUGAAAGUAUUGGUUAACAGAAACCAGAUCGAGUUAGUUUAUUCUUGUGAAUGGAAGAAUGGAACAGUAAUGAUCUGUAAUACUGCUCAGAAUGUUCAAAGAAAAUGAUAGCAGAUCCGGAGGCUGUAGCGGCGCAGCUCCUCGACCACGAAGAAUGCUGGCACGAUUUUCUUUACGUCGAUUAUUAUAUUCGAGUCCACUUAUCGGUCGACGAAUUGUAAGAACAGC
Eufriesea mexicana is the source of this 395-nucleotide long non-coding RNA. RefSeq lists it as uncharacterized. The transcript is spliced from 2 exons. Lineage: Eukaryota; Metazoa; Arthropoda; Insecta; Hymenoptera; Apidae. The record is from RefSeq and is a predicted model, not a curated record.